CGAACGUGGGUAACCUGCCCAUCAGAGGGGGAUAACAUUCGGAAACGGAUGCUAAAACCGCAUAGGUCUUCGAACCGCAUGGUUUGAAGAGGAAAGAGGCGCAAGCUUCUGCUGAUGGAUGGACCCGCGGUGCAUUAGCUAGUUGGUGAGGUAACGGCUCACCAAGGCCGUGAUGCAUAGCCGACCUGAGAGGGUGAUCGGCCACAUUGGGACUGAGACACGGCCCAA
Molecule: ribosomal RNA, 228 nt
Filed under: uncultured bacterium
Lineage: Bacteria
Description: partial 16S ribosomal RNA
Rfam family: Bacterial small subunit ribosomal RNA
Source: RNAcentral